UCCAAUCGGAGUCUGAGCGAGGGGCAUUGCCUUCAGCUCUCAGCUCUGGCAUCAGAGCUUGUUGUUGUGGUUACCGACUCUCGAGUGCUGUGGGGUGUUGCACAAAUUGUUGCCAAUAUCCCCAGCUCUACCUCGUCUGCCACUGGUCACCAUGGCAGCGCCUCUUGGCCCUCAGUCUGAUCCAAGGGCAGAAAUCAGCCUCCUGGAAAUCAACCAGAUUGAGAGGGAACCUGGGCACAGGCUCUGCUUCCUGAGCCCACAGAGGCCACCAUUUGAUACCCAGUGGUAAGACUGAGGGUAUCUCAGGGAAUUUCAGACAAUCUGUGCUGCCUCCAUCUAUCUCUCCCGAAGCUGGGCAAACUUCGGUGAAGCAGAUUGGCGAGCAGGUCAAGUUCUGGGCCAAGAAACACGUGGCCAAGUGAGGAUGAGGGGUGUAAAGAGCUCACCGACAUCAUCGGACCCGUGCUGGGGGACAAGCUGCAGUUGGAGGAGGGGAAGCGGACAGAGGUGUUCGCUGAGCAGCUCAGGCAAUGUCAUAUCCUAAUUAAAGAUCAUGCUAAAGAGCUGACCGGUUGUAUCAAAAGUUACGGGGAGGGACAGAUAUUUCUGAACGCCUCAAUGAGCACCUCGAGGACCGCCUCACCCACCAUGACCCUGAGCAUUCUCGAGGGCAGGGUUUCCAAGAGCAGCUGCCUGAGGGAGGCAGGCUGGCCAAGCGCCUUGCCCGAAAGCUCAGUUCAGAAAAUUAUGACGAUGAGGAGGAUGAAGAAAAACAAGAAACACUCACCCCCAGGUGACCAUGAGUAUUCAGGCACCGGUAAUGUGUGGGUAAAAAUGGACAGGGCAAGGAUGCCUGGGUGGCUCAGUGGUUUGGCGUGAUCCCGCUGUCCCGGGAUCGAGUUCUGCACUGGGCUCCCCACGGGGAGCCUGCUUCUCUCUCUGCCUGUUUCUCUGCCUCUCUUUCUGUGUCUCUCAUGAAUAAAUAAAUAGCAUCUUUUUUUAAAAAAAUUCACAGGGCCUCAGAAAGGACUCUAAGUGAAGUCUAGAGAGUGCCAGAUGCAAGAAGCAAAACUAGACAUGGAAACAAUGGAUGGCCCCGUUAACUUGGUCGUCUGUUGUCUCUGUGGUACUUGUAAGAUCAAGAUGAAUUCACUAGCCUUAAGAUGCCCUGUAGCUACAAAAUACCCAUUCUUUCCUCUAAAUGAACACGAGGAAGAGGUGCAUAUCUAUUUCCUACACAAUUCUCUAAGGUCCUUGGUGGGCAGGUGAGUAGCAAAGGAAUUGGUAAGCAGACAACCGGCAAAAUGAAAAACCAAGAGAAGCACUUAACCCAAACUUGCAGUGUCAUGUGACACUAUUAUUACCAUGGUGGCUAGAAGGCACAAAUUUCUCCAGUCUGCGAGGACUCCAGAGCUGUAGCCGCCUGAUCAAUCUAUGUUAAAGCCCACACAACCCAGGCACGUGGUGGUUGCCCCUGGCCUGGUCUCCAUCUCUGCUUCACGUUGGGACUGUACCAUACUGGGAUGGCUGGCUCUCAUUCCUAGUCAGUCCCUCGGUCACCGGUGCACUGAGUAUCUGCUGCUGCUGCUCUGCCAUCCCUUGGCAGCCACACUCUGUCUCUUACUGGAUGGAUCGCUUCUUCCCUCUCAAGGCAAUGCCCCCCUCACCGCCCCCGCUACGCUUCUUGUGACCACUCCCUGUAACUCCACUCAAAACCACUUAGGAAACCAUGGUGUGGGAUCCUCUUGGUCCGAUCUUCUGUCAUUCCUGUCCUACCUCCCACAGCCUGGAGCAGCAGGAAAUUGAAAAGAAGGGGAUCCUCCAGGACCCACCGGAUGAAUGUGUUUUGACUCCUUCAAUUCUCCAAGACGGGAGUGAGAGCCACCAGGCUUCAUAAUGAUUAUUGGGAGGAAGAAGACCAAGGCCAGAUAUGCCCCCAGUACUCCCUGGAACACGAGGCUCCACAGGGAGCUGCCAGUGGCAGAAGAGAAUGAAGUCCCACAGGACUCACUGGAUGAAUCUUAUUGGACUCCUUCAGUUGGCCAUGACCUGCCAGACGCCUGCAGGCCUUAUACAAGUGCCUCAUUCACAUCUGAUAAGCAGGAACUCUUCUUGGGUCUUGAUGUGGACGACUACCCUCUGCCGCCUGCGCCCUCACUAUUGUGCAGUGCAGGCAUUGGUACCAAGACAGGAGAGAGGAGAAAUGAGGGAAAAAGGCAAAAACCCAGCCGCCACUAUGUCACCUGGAGACACCUGGGUUUGCAGUCAGCUCCAUAUUUGCACCAUCUAUUAUAUUUUUGCUGAUCCCAAAGAUUUGCUCCUGAGCUGCCCUCUGUAGCAUUUAGAUAGAAGAUCCUGAGCACCCAGCCCUGCCUGUACCCUGUGGUUUCAGUGAAGCUAAGGCUCUAGCUCUGGUUUUUCAUCCCCAUGGAUUGAGUACUUUGCACCCUCUGUGCAGCAUCAGUGAUUUUUCCACGUGUGGAUAUGGUUUCAGUCAGAUCACCCGAGGGCCCACAUGGCAGGGAGGAGGCACGGCUCCGACUGAAGCUGACCUGCUCUGGCGUGAGGGUGUUGCAAGUGUCUGGUUAGCCCCCUUUCUGAGAACACAUACUCCCUUCACAGUGGAAACCUGAGUGUGUUUGAUCACGGAGUGCUGCCCACACCUCCCUGAAGGGUGUGUGAUGCUGGGACUGGGUGCUUUGUGCCCUCCCUGAAGACCCACAGAGUCUGACCCUGGAGCACUUCUGGCCCUGGAAUCUCCUAAGGGACUCAGACCUCUGCUACAUUCCUUACAGCUGUCAGCGCCUCCUCCGGGUGGCAAUAGAACAUACAGGUGGGGUGGGUGGAAGGGCAGUCAAAAAUUGUACAUGAGAAAGUUCCAAAGGCUCCAGAGCCAAGAAAGGUGCUCCUGACUUGGUCCAUGGUACUUUUUCCCAAGUCCCUUUUCUAGUGGUACCUGAAGCCUCAAGGCCAAACGUCUUCCGUUGUUCUGUUAUCUUUCGGGUACACACUGACAUCUGCUUCUCCCCGUGCCCCCAGGCCUCUCUAGAAUGUUUUCUGUAGGCUAUAGGACGAAGGUUACAGGAUAAUAAGCAUGAGUUCCUGCGCCCAUCUAAAGGCCCUCUGGAGUCAAGGAGGUGAUUUUUGCUUCUGGGACUUCGCAGCCUGGGCACCUGCCGUCCCAGCGUUCCCAGGCACAGACAUAAUGCUCCCAUGCAGGUGCCCUGUCACCGGGGGCUAUUGAGGGGAAACUUGACUUUCCUAAGGGCAGAGGUGCAAACUUCAAGAGCACAGCCACAGCCCAGCACCAAGGAGGCCAAUUCUCUGCAGUUGCAGCUGGGCCAGCAGUUGGAUCGUGGUGACAACAGAGCCAGGCUCGACCUCUCCCCCACCAUCUGGAGCCUGGCAGCCAAGAUGGGUUCUGGGGACCAAAGGCCACUCUCCCAAGAGCUGGGUUUGGAUGCAUCCGUGGGCAUGACAAACCACACUCUCAAGCUGGAAGGUGAAACUGCUCUGAGGGCUCGGUGGCCAGUCAAUGUGAGUGUCAAGUCUUUGACCCCAUGAAGGCCCCAGGUGUCACGAAACACAAGAUUAUCAAGAGGAAACUGCAGUUCAUCCAGGGGCAACUUGCAUGCAGAUUUCCCGCCUUCAAGCUUAGGGCGCAGAGAUACCAAGUACCUCAGGAAAUAGGAGAAGAGAUUCCUCAUGUGAAUGAAAUCCUACCAUAGAACCCCAUCAUUUUCCACUUGAUGAAAAGAAAUCUAAAACAGUGCAGCAGGAAAAGCCCCAACAGAGCACGGAAGGGAUCCUUUGCUGAGAAUCAACAUCACAACCACAAGCCACUCUGUGAUUUUGACUGCAACACACGGUUUGACGAGAGAAAUUCUAGCCCUUCAGCCUCCACUCGUGAUAAAUCGCCAAGGAGACCAAUGCCUGACUGGAUCACGUGCAGGUUUGAGAGACCUUAAGUCUUGCUCCUCUCAAUUCCAUCCCGCGAUGAACCCGAGGACUCGGGAGCAACGUGGAAAAAGAGCACGUGUCAAACUGGACAUUCUGGGCCAACAGAUGGGCUGCGCUAGGAGCAGACAGCAUUAACUGUGCAGUGUUCCGGCCGCAAAGGGUUAGCCUGAAUUUGAGCACAAGGUAGGCAUCAGUCAACUUCAGGAUGUAGACCAUCGAACAAGACGCCUGUCUUUCUUCAAACAGUCAUUGUCACCACAAAUAAGAGACGACAAAAAGGAGAAGAGAUCUUUUGGGUUCCAAAGGACUAAAAAAGUGUGUCACUGUUUAGUCCUUUCAAGCCCAAGACAUCUCCUCACCUUUAGGUGGCUGUCUCUGGUGGUGGUGACAUUUCCUUGUUUGUAGGGGACAGGUCAGAUAUCCGUCUAAAUGGUCUACAUCCUGAAGUUGUCUGAUCCUGAUUAGGAUCAGGAAAUUAAAUUCCUCCUGAUUAAAUUCAGCCUAACCCUUUCGCCAGGGCACUCCAUAGUUAAGGCUCUGUGUGUCCCAGCUCAGCCCACCCGGAGACCGAGAGCGCCAGUUUGCCCGUCACCGUUCUUGCGAGAGCAGCAUGGGUCACGUGCUAUGGAGGGGCCCGAAGAUCUGUUCACAGGAACACAUGGUUUUCUCUCUAAAACUAGUAAUGUGGUGAGUGGAGCUCUGAGAAUGUAUGAAGAUCCUUUUCUGCAAAGUUUUUCUCUGAAAUGUUGUCAUCCUGUGAUGAUCCCUGUGGUGUGUCAUCACCGCAUCCGUGUGUGUACAUUGGAAGGAUUCUAACUUUAUCAUUCCUGUACAACGUGUAUUGGCUGGCAUUGUGCCGUGGAACACACUCCCUCCCCGCUCUACAUCAUUAGAGUUUUGGUUUUGGCGAUCACUGUGGCCUUGUGAAUUUUUGUAUUCGAUGCUCUAAUCCCUCACUCUCCUGGUUGAUUUGGUGGAUAUGGAUAUAAAGUGAUGUAAAUAUUCUGGGAUUUCAUCAUAUUUAAUGCAAAGUCUCCAUCUCUUGUAGGCUAUACUUACUCGAUGGGGAAAAAAAUCUGACCAUGUUCCUCUCUCUGUGGUAUUUCCUGUUUUCUGUGAGUGCACAUAUGUCGGCCUACAUGUGCCUUUGGUGUUUAGGAAGCUUGUCAUAGGCAGGGCCGAACAUUGCACCAACCGUUCUUGGACACGUUGGGUUCCGUAUUAAUUUGUCAUCCUUUUCACAUCCAGUCUCUAAGUUUUAAGUGAUCUCUCAACCUCAAAGUUUUGACAUUACUCUGUUUUCUCUUUUCUCUUGUCUUAACCUGCACUCUUAUCGUAUUGUUUCCACCCAGUAAACAGAUGCCAUUUACAUCCUAUUUUUCUCACCUGCUCCUUCCAGAUUUUUGUUUUAGAUCCGCACUUAAGUUUCUUUAAUGGUCACCAUCUGUUCGAAAGUCAAAAUGUCCCCAGUCCUCUCUCCUUGGGUGAAAUCUUUAAAUGACUCCUAGUGAUGGAAUGGGGACUCCCUGAGUGUUGCUGGAAUUAAAAUUUUUUAAAAUUGAAGAACAAUUUUAAAAAGAUGAAACAUUGCUUUGUAGAUUUCAUUGACUUGACUUCAUGUCAUUGGCCUGUGGUUGUCUUCCUCUACCCAAACAUGGGCAGUUCAAGGUCAUGGGUCAGUGGUGCUUGAUGUCCAUGGUGGAUGUGUCCGUGCUGUUGAGUGACAUAGAAGCUGAGGUUGAGAAGGCAGGGGAAAGUGAUGCCCUGAAGCACCUCCUCACUUCUUCAGCAUAUGUUCCCACCUACUACGUCUUAUGAGCCAGAGACUUAGGAGGUCCCUGAGGAAGGGGCCCUGAUCAAGGACAUUUUCAACUUCUAAUGUUUGUGGGUCCUGCUCCUGGGCUCCAGGGAAGCUAUGCCUCCACACUUACGGAGGUCAAAAUGACUCCACAAAAACUCAAAGCCUGGACUCUAUGUCUUCCCCAAGCACAUGUUGUACGUCUGCUUUAUUAAGGAAAAUAACCAAAAAGGGCCCCCCUGGGAAAGAUAAGAAAACAGGAAGAAGUGUACCUGGUUCCCAUAAGAUUAAAAUCAUUAUCGUAUAUCAUCACUGCAUAUAAUGGAAACUUAGGACCAGGAACUGCAGUGUCUCUGCAAAGUCUUUGUCUUUGUCUAACAAGUUUUAAAUUUUUAUGUAAAAAAUGUAGAUAACCCUACACCAAAUAUUCAUUUUCCAGAACACUCUCUUCUUUGUGAAGAUUGCCCAUCCCAGGCCACUGUCUUUUGGGCUCAAAUAAAA
Canis lupus familiaris (dog) is the source of this 6259-nucleotide RNA transcript. It is a transcript of the gene named putative neuroblastoma breakpoint family member 5, with no coding region annotated. The record is from RefSeq and is a predicted model, not a curated record. The transcript is spliced from 12 exons. NCBI's taxonomy places the organism in Eukaryota, Metazoa, Chordata, Mammalia, Carnivora, Canidae.